RNAcentral lists this ribosomal RNA (740 nucleotides) under Boletus sp. Nan-MN23. RNAcentral describes it as "eukaryotic LSU rRNA". The stretch from base 289 to 443 matches the Rfam family "5.8S ribosomal RNA". The record is from RNAcentral. Lineage: Eukaryota; Fungi; Basidiomycota; Agaricomycetes; Boletales; Boletaceae.
AAGUCGUAACAAGGUUUCCGUAGGUGAACCUGCGGAAGGAUCAUUAUCGAACACCUGUAAAGGGGAGAUCAGAUCGGUGGAUUCCACUCGGAACUGUUGCUGGCGGGCAUACGUCUGCAUGUGCACGUUCUGGCGUCCACUUUUCCAGUCGACCUUUUGCAAUCUUCAUUUACACCUGUGCACCUAUUGUAGGUCUUCGCAAGAGGAUCUAUGUCUUUCAUAACACUAUUUUGUAUGGCCAUAGAAUGUAUCGAUCGUCUGUGAUGGACGAGAGAAAAAAUAUAUUACAACUUUCAGCAACGGAUCUCUUGGUUCUCGCAUCGAUGAAGAACGCAGCGAAUUGCGAUAAGUAAUGUGAAUUGCAGAUUUCCAGUGAAUCAUCGAAUCUUUGAACGCACCUUGCGCUCCUUGGUAUUCCGAGGAGCAUGCCUGUUUGAGUGUCAUUAAAUUCUCAACCAUGUCUUCAUUGACAUGGCUUGGAUUUGGGUGUUGCUGGCGACGAAAGUCGUCAGCUCUCCUUAAAUGCAUUAGCAAAGGGGUUCUGCAAAGUAUGAGCUUUCGGACGUGCACGGCCUUUGACGUGAUAAUGAUCGUCAUCGCUGGAGCGUCCACUCGAAGGUUUGGACUUUGUAGAAACAAAACUCCUUGCUUACAAUUCAGACCAUCAUUCAGUUCUUGGAAGGCGAAGGCAGGCUUAUUAGUCUUUGAGCUAGUUACUAGUCUUUAUUGGCGAAAGCAGC